UUGCACAUGGGGGNAACCCUGNAUGCAGCCAUGCCGCGUGUGUGAAGAAGGCCUUCGGGUUGUAAAGCACUUUCAGCGAGGAGGAAAGGUCAGUAGCUAAUAUCUGCUGACUGUGACGUUACUCGCAGAAGAAGCACCGGCUAACUCCGUGCCAGCAGCCGCGGUAAUACGGAGGGUGCAAGCGUUAAUCGGAAUUACUGGGCGUAAAGCGCACGCAGGCGGUUGGAUAAGUUAGAUGUGAAAGCCCCGGGCUCAACCUGGGAAUUGCAUUUAAAACUGUCCAGCUAGAGUC
Molecule: ribosomal RNA, 292 nt
Filed under: uncultured bacterium
Lineage: Bacteria
Description: partial 16S ribosomal RNA
Rfam family: Bacterial small subunit ribosomal RNA
Source: RNAcentral